UAGAUUGAAGCCCGCUGGAUUGGGUUUUUAGUUGUUAAUUAAAGUUUUACGGGAUCGAGGCCCGUCGGUCUAGU
This 74-nucleotide transfer RNA is filed under the name Afroedura karroica. Its description in RNAcentral is "tRNA-Asn". Lineage: Eukaryota; Metazoa; Chordata; Lepidosauria; Squamata; Gekkonidae. The record is from RNAcentral.